RNAcentral lists this unclassified non-coding RNA (213 nucleotides) under plant metagenome. RNAcentral's name for it is "partial contains small subunit ribosomal RNA, internal transcribed spacer 1, and 5.8S ribosomal RNA". The record is from RNAcentral.
UUUCCGUAGGUGAGCCUGCGGAAGGAUCAUUCAUAAUAAGUGUUUUAUGGCACUUUUUUAAAUCCAUAUCCACCUUGUGUGCAAUGUCAGGGUUGAUUUUUCUCUCGAGAGGAUCAACCCCAAACAUCAACUAUAUCUCAACUCUUUGUCUGAAAAAUAUUAUGAAUAAAACAAUUCAAAAUACAACUUUCAGCAACGGAUCUCUUGGCUCUC